AGAACGAACGCUGGCGGCAGGCCUCAAACAUGCAAGUCUAGGGGGGUGUAGCAAUACAUCACCGGCGGACGGGUGCGUAACACGUGGGAAUAUACCUUUUGGUUCGGAACAACGCAGGGAAACUUGCGCUAAUACCGAAUGUGCCCUUACGGGGAAAGAUUUAUCGCCAAAGGAUUAGCCCGCGUAGGAUUAGCUAGUUGGUGAGGUAAUGGCUCACCAAGGCUCCGAUCCUUAGCUGUUCUGAGAGGAAGAUCAGCCACACUGGGACUGAGACACGGCCCAGACUCCUACGGGAGGCAGCAGUUGGGAAUCUUGGACAAUGGGGGAAACCCUGAUCCAGCCAUGCCGCGUGAGUGAUGAAGGCCUUCGGGUUGUAAAACUCUUUCGACGGGGACGAUAAUGACGGUACCCGUAGAAGAGCUCCGGCUAACUUCGCGCCAGCAGCCGC
Molecule: ribosomal RNA, 448 nt
Filed under: uncultured bacterium
Lineage: Bacteria
Description: SSU rRNA
Rfam family: Bacterial small subunit ribosomal RNA
Source: RNAcentral